Long non-coding RNA from Mustela lutreola (European mink), 4629 nucleotides. RefSeq lists it as uncharacterized. The record is from RefSeq and is a predicted model, not a curated record. Lineage: Eukaryota; Metazoa; Chordata; Mammalia; Carnivora; Mustelidae. The transcript has 4 exons.
GGGCCGCGAGGGGCCAGUUCCGGCUGCCCGCGGGCGCCCUCGCGAGGCCGGGCUGCGGCGGAAGUGGCGGCUACAAAGCCGAGCCAGCCGCGGCGUCUGGGCCAAAGGCAUGCAUUGGUUUUCCAUAGUUGAUGAAGUGUGGCAUGCCAUGGUGGAAAGACCUUGGGCAUUGGGACAGACUGACCUGGAUUUAUACCUGCCUUAGCCACCUGUGAUCUGUGAAUUGGUGCUUCUGACUUCAGUAAGACUGAACAUCAUUUUCUUUGACUACUCAACAAGAAUUAUGCUUCUCUCACAAGAUUUUUGUGAAGAUUUAAGAGGUACCAGCUCUCUCUAUAUAACCCUGGGCUGAGUUGGUUGAGCUGUAGAUGCUAAAUAAAUAUCAGUUCUUUUAUCGUUUUUCACAACCUCGACAAAUCUUUGUACCAGACGCUACAGACAAGGCAAAGAUUAAUAUAACCUGGGUCAGGAUGGUGCAUAGGUUUUAUUUAAUGUGCCAGCCCUCAUGGAAUGUGCAGCUUCAGGGAGCACCUCGUGGAGAUCGCGUUAGGGGUCAGCAAGGAAGAGGAGCACCGCCGACUACCCUAUCCUCAGGUGUGGGAAUGGACAGUGGGGGAUGAGCCCAUCCCACGUUUGCCAUCACAGACACAAACCCUGCUUUGGGGAAGUCAAAGUGAAGGAACUGUGAAAUUCCUGGAGAAGGAAUGAAGAGCUAUUGAACACAAUAGUUGAUUGUCAUAGGGGGUGAUCCCAGGAAAAAUACAAGAGAGUGGAGAAGGAAAAAGCCAACAGAGAACGUGUCAAUGAGUGGCUCACUACUGUGAACAUUUGGGGCUCAUUUGCACUUGUGUCCCCCGAGAGUCUGGGUACAACACCCUUCAGCAUCACUCCAGCAAGAGGGAAGGAGGCUGACUAUUUAUGAUGAGACCCAGGAUUUGGGAGGCAAAACAAACAAAUAAACAAAUAUGAAGAGGGCAGAUUUUGGACCUCCAUGAAUGAUGCCAAAGUUAAGAAAAGCUAAAAGAGGUAGAAGAGGUAUCUCUGGGAAGUGUUCUUCUCUUGCCUGGCUGGCCUUGUACCUGACGGGACUCUGGACAUCUUCCCAACAGGAGCCAUUUUGCAAAGGACGAGAUGAUAGCUCUGAGAGGAUGAGCAACUCACCCAAGUUCAUGUUGCUGCAAAAUGAUAGAAUUGGAAGUAGGUGCCAGACUGCAUCUAAGGAGGAGACACUGAAGUGUUUUUUCCCUACACCGUGCUAAAUAAACUAAGGCAGCGCCUCCCCUGUGCUCUUUCCUGCCUCUACUCCUCUAGUCUCUGUCCUGCUCUUCCUCCUCCUCUUGGUGUCUCUGAAGAGAGGAAAGGGAAAAGGACAAACUGCCCAGAGGCUCCUCAGAUGUUCAGGGGAAGCUGUUCUUGGUUGUACGCUGGCAGUGAUUUCUUUCAAAAAGGCAGCAACAUUGAACUGCCCAAGGUCAGAGAGUCCCAGUGCUGUGGACUUGGGGAAGAGCCAGGGAAGGCAGUGUGCUGUUUGUUUGUUUGUUUUGAUUAAAAAAAAUUUUUUUUUAAAGCUGUUGGGGGGCAUUUUGUGCUUGUGUGUAAGAGUAUGUUUGAGUAUUCUGCUUCCCUGUCCUGGCUGCCUGGCAGUACCCGGAGGUGAAGGAGAUGGUUACAAAUGCAGACAGGGACACUUCCCAACGCUGUAUCAUAGUGAACAAAGAACAACAGUGACGAUGUUUUACACAAAGAGAAGGAUGUGAGAGUGAACUUGGGUGGCAUGGUGUCCAGCCUUUCUGAUAAAUAACACCAGCACGCCUUGGGGAGAGAACUGUGGCCCUUGUCAAUGGUGAGUAAGGCCAGGAGAAAUCACCUUUUGUGGAAGCAUGACUCUAGCCACCUUUCAACACUAGCUAUGCUGCCAUUUCAACACAGAGGUGCAAGCAGCUGGCUAGCGUCUUGAGGUGGGUGAUAGUACCUAGAUAGAAUUUUCUGUUUGCUCUAUUUUCUUUUAGUUAUGAUUCUGUUUAUGACAAAAGAUUAUGAUUUUCUGAUUAUGGUAGUGAUACGUUGUCCCUUUUAACUACAGGCCUUUAAGCAAAAAAGUCAACUUAAAGGAAAAUAAUUGAGUAGAUAAUAGGAUAGUUGGUAUGGAGAUGUGGAAAACCGUUGGAAGAUGGAGGGGCAUCUUGGAUUAUGUCGACACCUGUCUUCCAUUUCAGAUAAUUUAGGACUCGAACGCCAUCAUUUGAGAAUCAUGUGAAACUGGAAUGGUGUCAUUUCAGAACAGAAAAGGAUGACCUAGUCCAAUCUCCCCAUUUUAGAGUUGAUGAAAUGUAGGCUGAGAAGGAGGUGAUUGGCCAAAGGUCUCAGAGUUGUGUUGGCUGAUGACGGGAGUGCGUGUAUGCGCAUGCGUGUGCGUGCAACUGCUGGGAGGGGGCUGGAGCUGGGAGAGGAGGUCGAGGUAGUUGCCAGACAUAGCUCUGCUGUAAGUAAUUCGGGUUGUCUCGGCACCAUAGGGGGAAAGAGGGAAGAGGAGGUGGACACAGGCUUUGAACAAAGUGAAAACCCCUAGAUAACGAGAGGGAAAAUAUCCCGAAAAUCCAAGUUCCUUUUGCUUGCUGCAGCAGCAAGGCCAAGAGCUGGCGGGUUUCCCUCAGUCAUCUCAGCAGUAGCUUUUUCCUGUGGAAUGUGGCGUUAAAUAGGAUAGGUCAGCAUUACGCUUGAACAAAAUGUGAUGACUGAUUAGGAAAUGAAUGGUAAGUCAUGGAUCAUGGUGAUGCUUAUCAACAUCCUCCCCCUGCCCCCACCGGAACAAACAAAGCUGCACUUGCAGGCUCACGAAACUGGACCCAGAUGGCCUUGUCCUUGGGACAAUGUAGCUCUGGCAGUGACAGUCAUCUAUGAGUUAAUCAGGUGUCACAGGAAGAAGAGACUCAAUUGUGCUUCAGCUGUUUCAGGAGGAGUGCUGUGGGGUCUGUGGCCCCCAGCCUCCCCACUUCACUGUGAGGUCUGCCCCCAGUCUUGCUUUCCUGUGUGUAUAACUGCGAGUCCAGCAGUAUGGUGCAGCCCAGGAUUAAAGACCGCCUCCCUUGUGGAUGGGGUUGGGGAGCUCAGUGUGUGGUCCAGGACAGGAACUUAACAUAUAUUUGUGGAACAGACAACUAUGAGGAUGGUUAAAUCAAUCCAUAGUCAAUCAGUAGGGCUCUGCAUGGUGCGUGGCAUAGAGCCAGCCUACUGCUCACCCACAUUCCUAUGUGGAUAGUCCAUCUUUCAGUGUCCCUAUUUCUUCAUGUCUAAACUUCAUAUAAGAAACUAUGUUCUAGGGGCACCUGGGUGGCUCAGUCAGUUGGGCAUCUGCCUUCCACUAAGGUCUUGAUCCCAGGGUCCUGAGUUGGGUCCUGCAGGGGCUCCUUGACCAGUGGGAAGCCUGCUUCUCCCUCUGCCCCACCGCCUACUGUGCUCUCUCUCCCUCUCUCUCAAGCCCUCUCUCUGUGUCAAAUAAAUAAAAUCUUAAAAAAGAAAGAAAGAAAGAAACUGUGUUCUACAAAUAUGUUGUUGGGAUUUGAGAGAUGAGUCAUGUGAGUGUAGGGGUUGCCUAUUCAUUCAUUGACUCAUUAAAUCAUUCAUUUAUCCAACCUACUGAUAUUUAUUAAGCAUUUAGUGCAGAGAGAGUCUAGGCUCCUUCUUAUAAAGGUUGAGACCUAGUGGGGAAGUCAGGUAACAACCACAUAAAAGAAAUCAGAAGCCAAGAUAAUGCUUUCAGAAUAUCAUACCUGCUAGAGUAAAAUAGCGAUUAGAUGGAAAUAAUACUACUAAGACUAUUGAUGAAAGCUAACAUUUGUGAAACCCCACGCACCAUACCUGUUGUAAACAUUUACCUGUAUAAUGUGUUUAAUCCGUAUCAUCACCCUAAAAGAGGUAUAAUUGUUAUCUUCAUUUUAUAAAGGGAAACUGAGGCACAGAGUUAGAAAGUCAUGAGGAAAGGGGGGAUAUUUCAGACAGCGUGGUCAGGAAACAUUUCAAGGGAAGCACACUUAAGCAGGGGCUAGAAGUAAGCAUUUCUUGUGCCUCUCCAAAAUCCAUGAUUUCCUUUCUAAUCACCCCUCUUCCACCCCACCAAUGCCAUUCAUUGUCAUCGCAACUACCUUCUAAGUAGACCAGCGCUCCUUGCAGCCAGAGUGGUGCGAAGGUGUGGGGAGGACAGAGAAAUUGGUCAAAUGCAUUGGCCCAUUUAUUGCUCUGUUGACCUUACCAGGGUGUGGCUUAUUUGUGGCCUCUAAACUUGAAGGGUACAAGGCUUAGACCUCUGGGAUGGCAUAGCAUGGAGUUAUAGCUUGUCCUCUGUACUUGCCCAUGGGGAGGCUUGAUCUACAUCUUCUAUUCCCUUAAGCAUUCAGUCAUGGUCAUUUACUGUGGGAAUGGGAGCGAAGAAAACAUAGUGGUGGGGGGAAUACUCAGAAUACUCUUAUUCACGCACACAAUACAUUACGUUUCAAGGCCUUUCAGCUGCACAUCCCACCCGGGUAUCUGGUCCCAAGGACCUUGUGAAGCAGGGAUUGUUACGCGCAUUUGGAAGAUCAGAGACAGGGAGGCUGAGAAUCUUUAGAAGUGCAGCCAAGCCCCCAUCCAGCA